GAUGAACGCUGGCGGCGUGCUUAACACAUGCAAGUCGAACGGAAAGGCCCAAGCUUGCUUGGGUACUCGAGUGGCGAACGGGUGAGUAACACGUGGGUGAUCUGCCCUGCACUUCGGGAUAAGCCUGGGAAACUGGGUCUAAUACCGGAUAGGACCACUUCUUGGAUGUUGUGGUGGAAAGUUUUUUCGGUGUGGGAUGAGCUCGCGGCCUAUCAGCUUGUUGGUGGGGUAAUGGCCUACCAAGGCGUCGACGGGUAGCCGGCCUGAGAGGGUGUACGGCCACAUUGGGACUGAGAUACGGCCCAGACUCCUACGGGAGGCAGCAGGGGGGAAUAUUGCACAAUGGGCGCAAGCCUGAUGCAGCGACGCCGCGUGGGGGAUGACGGCCUUCGGGUUGGAAACUCCUUUCGCUAGGGACGAAGCGUUUUGUGACGGUACCUGGAGAAGAAGCACCGGCUAACUACGUG
Molecule: ribosomal RNA, 467 nt
Filed under: uncultured bacterium
Lineage: Bacteria
Description: partial 16S ribosomal RNA
Rfam family: Bacterial small subunit ribosomal RNA
Source: RNAcentral